Molecule: RNase P RNA, 308 nt
Filed under: Flavobacteriaceae bacterium
Lineage: Bacteria; Pseudomonadati; Bacteroidota; Flavobacteriia; Flavobacteriales; Flavobacteriaceae
Also listed under: 1 other name
Description: RNase P RNA component class A
Rfam family: Bacterial RNase P class A
About the family: Ribonuclease P (RNase P) is a ubiquitous endoribonuclease, found in archaea, bacteria and eukarya as well as chloroplasts and mitochondria. Its best characterised activity is the generation of mature 5'-ends of tRNAs by cleaving the 5'-leader elements of precursor-tRNAs. Cellular RNase Ps are ribonucleoproteins.
Source: RNAcentral
CAAGCAGGUCUCCCUGUCGCUCCGGUUAUCCGGGGAGGAAAGUCCGAACACCGAAGUGCAGCAUAGCGGGUAACGCCCGUCUCCCGUGUUAACGGGAAGGACAAGUGCAACAGAAAGGAUGUACAGGUUAUGCUGUAGUGAAAUCAGGUAAACUCUAUGCGGUGAAACGCCAUGUAAAUCAGCGAUUGAGGGCUGCACGCCCGAGCUGAAGGGUAGGCGGAUAGAACCAGGGGGUAACUCCUGGUCCAGAUAAAUGAUAGGGGAGCCCUCAGGGCUUAACAGAAUUCGGCUUAUGACCUGCUUUUUAU